AUCUUUUUUUUGUCUAAAAGA
Molecule: non-coding RNA, 21 nt
Filed under: Arabidopsis thaliana (thale cress)
Lineage: Eukaryota; Viridiplantae; Streptophyta; Magnoliopsida; Brassicales; Brassicaceae
Source: RNAcentral